RNAcentral lists this transfer RNA (88 nucleotides) under Candidatus Omnitrophota bacterium. RNAcentral's name for it is "Candidatus Omnitrophica bacterium (aquatic metagenome) tRNA-Ser". It matches the Rfam family "tRNA". From Rfam's summary of the family: Transfer RNA (tRNA) molecules are approximately 80 nucleotides in length. Their secondary structure includes four short double-helical elements and three loops (D, anti-codon, and T loops). Further hydrogen bonds mediate the characteristic L-shaped molecular structure. tRNAs have two regions of fundamental functional importance: the anti-codon, which is responsible for specific mRNA codon recognition, and the 3' end, to which the tRNAs corresponding amino acid is attached (by aminoacyl-tRNA synthetases). tRNAs cope with the degeneracy of the genetic code in two manners: having more than one tRNA (with a specific anti-codon) for a particular amino acid; and 'wobble' base-pairing, i.e. permitting non-standard base-pairing at the 3rd anti-codon position. The record is from RNAcentral. Lineage: Bacteria; Pseudomonadati; Candidatus Omnitrophota.
GGAGGAGUGGCUGAGUGGACUAAAGCGGCGGUCUUGAAAACCGUUGUACCUUCGGGUACCGUGGGUUCGAAUCCUACCUCCUCCGCCA